This 69-nucleotide transfer RNA is filed under the name Eteoneus sigillatus. RNAcentral's name for it is "tRNA-Ser". It matches the Rfam family "tRNA". From Rfam's summary of the family: Transfer RNA (tRNA) molecules are approximately 80 nucleotides in length. Their secondary structure includes four short double-helical elements and three loops (D, anti-codon, and T loops). Further hydrogen bonds mediate the characteristic L-shaped molecular structure. tRNAs have two regions of fundamental functional importance: the anti-codon, which is responsible for specific mRNA codon recognition, and the 3' end, to which the tRNAs corresponding amino acid is attached (by aminoacyl-tRNA synthetases). tRNAs cope with the degeneracy of the genetic code in two manners: having more than one tRNA (with a specific anti-codon) for a particular amino acid; and 'wobble' base-pairing, i.e. permitting non-standard base-pairing at the 3rd anti-codon position. Lineage: Eukaryota; Metazoa; Arthropoda; Insecta; Hemiptera; Tingidae. The record is from RNAcentral.
AGUUAAUUAACUUAAUAAAAGUAUAUAUUUUGAAAAUAUAUUAUAUAAGUUAAAAUCUUAUAUUAACUU